RNAcentral lists this long non-coding RNA (242 nucleotides) under Elaeis guineensis (African oil palm). Its description in RNAcentral is "long non-coding RNA (EGUI_LNC006649)". The record is from RNAcentral. Lineage: Eukaryota; Viridiplantae; Streptophyta; Magnoliopsida; Arecales; Arecaceae.
UCCUUUUACUUCAGUGAGCCUUUUCUUCGAACCUUGAAAGAUAGUUCUAUUGGUUACUUCAGCUUCACCAUUUCACUGUGGAUGUCCAACAGAAGUGAGUCGGUGAUCCAUAUGAAGCUUGAAGCAAAAUUUUUUGAAUUUAGGAUUGUCAAACUACAAACCAUUAUCAGUGAUGAUUAUCCGAGGUAAACCAAAUAGGCAUAUUAUAGAUUUUUAGAUAAAAUCCUGCAUCUUUUUCUCUA